RNAcentral lists this long non-coding RNA (2220 nucleotides) under Sparus aurata (gilthead seabream). RNAcentral describes it as "lncRNA (ENSSAUG00010023698.1)". The record is from RNAcentral. Lineage: Eukaryota; Metazoa; Chordata; Actinopteri; Spariformes; Sparidae.
AUUUAACAUGGCGAUGUUCGUUUUUUCACCCUCCCUCCUCUCAGCGUCACCUGCUAACAUUACCCUCCCUGCCCCGGGCCCAAAUUACCGUCCAACCAUCUGCAGUCUACACACUCAGUGUAUGUCUAGUGCUGGUGUACACAGUACCGCUUGACACUUGUGCAAGAUUGAAGGGACGAAAGGAAGUAAAGAGUGUUUUCCUGCAGGACACCAGGAUUGUUUGGGAGUAUAUACCUUUAUGUUUUCUCUGACAACAUGGACUACUGCUUUUUGAAAGGAUUCCUAGUGGUUUUGUUGAUACAACACUGCACAUGUGAAGAUUUGUCUACGUCCAUCCAGUCCUCCACAGCGGUCACCCUCCAAGAUGACCAGGCCCCCCCCAAUGAACCGGAGCAGACCCCUGCAGAGGUGGUGCCCGUGGUUGCCCCACCUAGCCUGAGGGAGGUGCAGCAGGCUGUGCAGGAGGCCUCGGAGCAGGUGGAGGGUCGCGGGGCAGAGGAAGUGCUGAAGGGGCUUCUAGAGAGGGUGGUGGAGGCAGCUCUGGGGCAGGCGGAAGGAGGAGGCGAAGUGAAAGCAGAUGAGGCAGCAGAGCAGGAAACGACUGAGGAGGUGGGGGCUGAGAGAGGAGAGACUGAGUCAGAGGUGAUGGAGCAGGAAGUGGAGGAGGAAGCUGAGGGUGAGGAUAUCGGCGCCAAGGAAGCGGGAGAUACUGGUGUCGAAGUGGAGCAGGAGGAAGCCAAGGUGCAUGCAUUUCAAGAUGUGGCUGAAGAGGAGAAAGGACCUGUCGAGGGGGAGGUUGAGAUUGCAGCUGGAUCUGUGGAGGGGACUGCAGCGGGUGUAGAAAUCGGUGGCCGGGAAGCAGAGGAAGUGGAGGUUGUCGACGAGUCUCCAGAUGCUAAAGUUAGUCAUGAGGUUGUAGAGGAAGCUGCAGUUGCUUCAGAUGAGACAGGAGGGUAUUUAGCAGUGGAGGAGGCAGGGGUGGAGGGUGAGUUGUCAGAAGAAAAAAGUGAAAUAGAAUCACAGGAGAUAGAGGAAACUCCAGCUGUUGUAGGCGGAGAGUUGGAGCAGGAGACUGUGGUAGAAUCUGACCCCAGCCUGGCGGUGGCUGAUGUGGAGCAGAUUGAUUUAGGGGCAAAGGCAGAAGCUCUGGAGGAAGAAACUCAGUUAGAUGACAUGGAAGGUGAGGCGAUAGCACCGCCUGCUGAUAGUGACGAAAUGGAAACUACACAAUCUGUUGUAGGAGAGCCGGUAGAGGACGAGGAAGAAGGGAACGUAAGGGAGGAUGGUGAGGGGACUGAGGUGGAGGAUGAACAAGGCCAUUUAGCGGUGGAGGGAGGAGCUGCCGAGGGGGUCGAAGCAGAAGGCGCAGACGUGGGGGAAGCAGAAGGAGAGAGUGUAAUCAAGGAUGAAUCGGUGGCACCGGUAGAUGAAGGAGUCGAAGGAGAGGAGGCGCAGAUUGCUUUGGAGACCUCACAUGGCAGUGAAAAAGAGGACCAAGAAGCACCGGUGAUCUCUGCCCCAGAGCCUGGAGACGGUGCUGACGGCCCCAUGGAGCAGAGCCCUGAGAACCAGGGUCCCACCUCAGGCCCAUCAAGGGGUGGGGUGGAGGCGGAGGUGAAUACCCUCGGUGAUGAGAAAUCUAAUGAUGCCAACGAUAUCAUCACCGCGAGCGAUGACCUUCUGCCACACGACCCCGUCAUGGCCCAACCUACGCUUGAUAAUCUCGUGGAGGAUGUUGUGGCCGAAGGUCCUCAGGCAGAAGGGGAGGAACCAGGGGAGGCCAAUGAGCUGGUGGAAGAUAUAGCUGCAGCCACAGAGACAAGUGAGCUGAGCCUGGAGGCGUGGAAGAUUGGGGCUAUUUCCGCUGCCGUCUUCCUGGUUUUGGAGACCGUUGUGAUCAUCAUCUAUAUCUUCAAAUGUCGUGACAAAAACAGCUCCCGGGCCCUGCAGCGGGCAUGUGAGGAAGGGUGUGUUGAACCAGAGGCAGCUACGGGAGGCGACUGCAGCGACGACACACUUCCUGCAGGCAACGGGGAUGCUCAACAGAUAGCAGCCCUCGACCCAUCUGAUGUGGCUUCGACCUUGGCCCAGAACAAAGAGCAGCACGAGGAGGAGCAUGCGAUAGCCAUGUCUGACCUCCCGCCCAGCUCCACAGAGGAGUCGGCCAAUACUGGACCAGGACCAGACUCCUCACAAGACCCCAGGACUUCCAUUCUCUAG